This 253-nucleotide long non-coding RNA is filed under the name Daucus carota (carrot). RNAcentral's name for it is "long non-coding RNA (DCAR_LNC002544)". Lineage: Eukaryota; Viridiplantae; Streptophyta; Magnoliopsida; Apiales; Apiaceae. The record is from RNAcentral.
UUAGGGCAUUUGCUGGAAAAAGUUGCUCCAACAAUGUCCUAGUGAUGCCUUAUAUCACUAGGACAACAUUCUCAAGCCCUAUUUUUGAGGCACCUCUCUCCUUGCCCUAUAACAUAUUUUAUUAUAAAAUCACAUCAACACUCACUUUCUCUCUCUAUUUUUAUAUUAUGCUUUAAUGAUGGAAGAGAGUCUUUAAUAAUAAAAUAUUAAACAUCUUGUAAGAAUAAGGCACAUUGUUGGAGUUCAAGCUGGC